AGCAGCCGCGGUAAUUCCAGCUCCAAUAGCGUAUAUUAAAGUUGUUGCAGUUAAAAAGCUCGUAGUUGAAUUUCGGGAUUGACGUGACGGUCAUGCCUUAAGGGGUAUGAACUGUUACAGUUGAUUUCUCACCUUCUGGAGAAACUUGAUGUCCUUUAUUGGGUGUCUUGCGGAUCCAGGACCUUUACCUUGAAAAAUUAGAGUGUUUAAAGCAGGCAUUUUUGCUCGAAUACAUUAGCAUGGAAUAAUAGAAUAGGACGGCAUGGUUCUAUUUUGUUGGUUUCUAGGAUCACCGUAAUGAUUAAUAGGGAUAGUUGGGGGCAUUAGUAUUCAAUUGUCAGAGGUGAAAUUCUUGGAUUUAUUGAAGACUAACUACUGCGAAAGCAUUUGCCAAGGAUGUUUUCAUUAAUCAAGAACGAAAGUUAGGGGAUCGAAGACGAUCAGAUACCGUCGUAGUCUUAACCAUAAACUAUGCCGACUAGGAAUCAGACGAUGUUAAUUUUUAAUGACUCGUUUGGCU
RNAcentral lists this ribosomal RNA (520 nucleotides) under uncultured Entrophospora. Its description in RNAcentral is "SSU rRNA". It matches the Rfam family "Eukaryotic small subunit ribosomal RNA", at positions 569 to 1085 of the family's 1831-position model. Lineage: Eukaryota; Fungi; Glomeromycota; Glomeromycetes; Entrophosporales; Entrophosporaceae. The record is from RNAcentral.